AACGAACGCUGGCGGCAGGCUUAACACAUGCAAGUCGAACGGGUGUAGCAAUACAUCAGUGGCAGACGGGUGAGUAACACGUGGGAACCUUCCUAGGGGUACGGAACAACUCAGGGAAACUUGAGCUAAUACCGUAUACGUCCGUAAGGAGAAAGAUUCAUCGCCCCUAGACGGGCCCGCGUCGGAUUAGGUAGUUGGUGGGGUAACGGCCUACCAAGCCUACGAUCCGUAGCUGAUCUGAGAGGANGAUCAGCCACACUGGGACUGAGACACGGCCCAGACUCCUACGGGAGGCAGCAGUGGGGAAUCUUGGACAAUGGGCGCAAGCCUGAUCCAGCCAUGCCGCGUGAGUGAAGAAGGCCUUAGGGUUGUAAAGCUCUUUUACCAGGACGAUAAUGACGGUACCUGGAGAAUAAGCCCCGGCAAACUUCGUGCCAGCAGCCGCAGUAAU
RNAcentral lists this ribosomal RNA (451 nucleotides) under uncultured bacterium. RNAcentral's name for it is "bacterial SSU rRNA". It matches the Rfam family "Bacterial small subunit ribosomal RNA", at positions 29 to 524 of the family's 1533-position model. The record is from RNAcentral.